AAGCAACACUCUGUGGCAGAUGGUCAAAAGUGUCUGACACAAUUUGAGCUUGCUAUAGCAAGAAAGUCUAACCUAUUCCGGUGUUCUCUCUUUGUGGGAUAAGCCGUUAUAUAGACUUUAACAGU
Otolemur garnettii (small-eared galago) is the source of this 125-nucleotide small nucleolar RNA. The record is from Ensembl. NCBI's taxonomy places the organism in Eukaryota, Metazoa, Chordata, Mammalia, Primates, Galagidae.